This 254-nucleotide ribosomal RNA is filed under the name uncultured bacterium. Its description in RNAcentral is "partial 16S ribosomal RNA". It matches the Rfam family "Bacterial small subunit ribosomal RNA", at positions 524 to 776 of the family's 1533-position model. The record is from RNAcentral.
UACAGAGGUCCCGAGCGUUGUUCGGAUUCACUGGGCGUAAAGGGUGCGUAGGUGGCAUGAUAAGUUUGAUGUGAAAUCUCCGGGCUCAACCCGGAAAAUGCAUUGAAUACUAUCAGGCUGGAGGUUUGGAGGGGGGACUGGAAUUCUCGGUGUAGCAGUGAAAUGCGCAGAUAUCAGGAGGAACACCGGUGGCGAAGGCGGGUCUCGUGGGCAACAACUGACGCUGAGGAGCGAAAGCGUGGGGAGCGAACAGG